This 274-nucleotide ribosomal RNA is filed under the name uncultured bacterium. RNAcentral describes it as "partial 16S ribosomal RNA". It matches the Rfam family "Bacterial small subunit ribosomal RNA", at positions 523 to 796 of the family's 1533-position model. The record is from RNAcentral.
AGACGGAGGGGGCUAGCGUUGUUCGGAAUUACUGGGCGUAAAGGGCGCGUAGGCGGCACUGCAAGUCAGGCGUGAAAGACCCGGGCUCAACCUGGGAGGUGCGCUUGAGACUGCGGAGCUGGAGUCCGGGAGAGGUGAGUGGAAUUCCCAGUGUAGAGGUGAAAUUCGUAGAUAUUGGGAAGAACACCAGUGGCGAAGGCGGCUCACUGGCCCGGCACUGACGCUGAGGCGCGAAAGCGUGGGGAGCAAACAGGAUUAGAUACCCCGGUAGUCC